This 242-nucleotide unclassified non-coding RNA is filed under the name fungal sp. Its description in RNAcentral is "partial internal transcribed spacer region". The stretch from base 1 to 46 matches the Rfam family "Eukaryotic small subunit ribosomal RNA", at positions 1786 to 1831 of the family's 1831-position model. The record is from RNAcentral. Lineage: Eukaryota; Fungi.
AAGUCGUAACAAGGUAACCGUAGGUGAACCUGCGGUUGGAUCAUUAAAAAUCCAAAGAGUCUUGGGUCAUUCGAUGCCUUGACUCUAACUGGCCUUCGGGCCUCAACCCCUUGUGAACUGUUAUUGAACUUGGCUAGAUUAUUGCCUAGCAGUGCUAGCCGUUUAGUUUUAACUUUGUUUUAUUUGUCUGAUACCUAAAGAUUCAAUCUUAACAACUUUUGGCAAUGGAUCUCUAGGCUCUC